ACCCUAGAGACUGGUGGCUUGGCUAGUUGAUAACAGUUGCCAAGCAAUAGCUUCUUGGGUUU
RNAcentral lists this microRNA precursor (62 nucleotides) under Euprymna scolopes. RNAcentral's name for it is "Esc-Mir-12546_pre stem-loop". Lineage: Eukaryota; Metazoa; Mollusca; Cephalopoda; Sepiida; Sepiolidae. The record is from RNAcentral.